GAUGAAGAACGCAGCGAAAUGCGAUAAGUAAUGUGAAUUGCAGAAUUCAGUGAAUCAUCGAGUCUUUGAACGCACAUUGCGCCCCCUGGUAUUCCGGGGGGCAUGCCUGUCCGAGCGUCAUUGCUGCCCUCAAGCACGGCUUGUGUGUUGGGCCCCCGUCCCCGGUUUCCCCCGGGGACGGGCCCGAAAGGCAGCGGCGGCACCGCGUCCGGUCCUCGAGCGUAUGGGGCUUUGUCACCCGCUCUGUAGGCCCGGCCGGCGCCAGCCGACACCCAACUUUAUUUCUAAGGUUGACCGCGGAUCAGGUAGGGAUACCCGCUGAACUUAAGCAUAUCAAUAAGCGGAGGA
This 348-nucleotide unclassified non-coding RNA is filed under the name soil metagenome. RNAcentral describes it as "partial contains 5.8S ribosomal RNA, internal transcribed spacer 2, and large subunit ribosomal RNA". The stretch from base 1 to 120 matches the Rfam family "5.8S ribosomal RNA", at positions 35 to 154 of the family's 154-position model. The record is from RNAcentral.